This 250-nucleotide ribosomal RNA is filed under the name uncultured Actinomycetales bacterium. RNAcentral's name for it is "partial 16S ribosomal RNA". It matches the Rfam family "Bacterial small subunit ribosomal RNA", at positions 524 to 773 of the family's 1533-position model. Lineage: Bacteria; Bacillati; Actinomycetota; Actinomycetes; Actinomycetales. The record is from RNAcentral.
UACGUAGGGUGCAAGUGUUGUCCGGAAUUAUUGGGCGUAAAGAGCUCGUAGGCGGUCUGUUGCGUCGGCUGUGAAAUCCCGAGGCUCAACCUCGGGUCUGCAGCCGAUACGGGCAGGCUAGAGUUCGGCAGGGGAGACUGGAAUUCCUGGUGUAGCGGUGGAAUGCGCAGAUAUCAGGAGGAACACCGGUGGCGAAGGCGGGUCUCUGGGCCGAUACUGGCGCUGAGGAGCGAAAGCGUGGGGAGCGAAC